UAAUAAUGGCGGCUCUGUCUGCUAAAUGCAUGCACUUGGCAAGGCAACUGGUUGAAGUACUGACGGGGUUUACUCCGGAUGAAGAGAAUUAUCAACGUAGACCUACUACCGAGUUUGUCCUCUCAAAUUUCAAGUAUCCGGCAUCGUUUUCUGAGUGUGAAUAGCAACAACACAAAGAGAAAACUUUCAGAUCUGGCAACAAAGUUUAGAGUUCAUUCUCUUCCAGAGAGAGCUGAAUGGCUUGAGAAAUAAAUGUGUAGAUGACUUUUUAAAGCUCUCACUAUUUGAAUCUUUCUCAGAGUCUGAGAAUCAUUAUGCGAUACUGUCAUUCCUUCUCUGUCUCUCUCAAUCUCCAACAAGUCAUACUUCUUUCACUGUUCCUCAGUCUGAUCCUCCUCCUCUUCCUCUGGCUCAAGAUGGUCGUCCUUUUGAUUGGGGGCGCUACCUAAUGGAGGGCUCUUUUGAAGAAUAUGAAUCAUCUAGUGAUGACAGUGAAUUCAUUCCUUGCAGUGAUGAGGAUCUCCCAUUAUCAUCACAUGAACUCUCACACGACCUCAAGUCACAUGAUCAGUCACAUGAUUUGGCUAUUGAGACA
Amphimedon queenslandica is the source of this 595-nucleotide long non-coding RNA. RefSeq lists it as uncharacterized. Lineage: Eukaryota; Metazoa; Porifera; Demospongiae; Haplosclerida; Niphatidae. The record is from RefSeq and is a predicted model, not a curated record. The transcript is spliced from 5 exons.